RNAcentral lists this long non-coding RNA (1435 nucleotides) under Equus caballus (horse). Its description in RNAcentral is "lncRNA (ENSECAG00000057180.1)". Lineage: Eukaryota; Metazoa; Chordata; Mammalia; Perissodactyla; Equidae. The record is from RNAcentral.
UGUGGAUAACACACAUAGGAUCUUGCUGUUGAGGCAUGUAACCAGGCCCCAGCACAAAGGGGGCUCAGGAAAUGUUACGUGCUGCAAUGAUGACGAUGAAAUGUGUAGAAUUUUUUCACGGCAGUCUGAGGGCUGAGGGAGCAUGUAAGCCCUGGAGUGGGAGCAGGAUUCCAGGUUGAAGUCCAGCCUGGCACUGACUCAUUGUGACCCUAGGUCAGCCCCCUGCCCUCUCUGGCCCAGUCUCUGAAAGACCAAAGAAGGAGCUGGGUUCAAUCACCUCCUGGCUCUCCCCCUACUGUGUCCGUUACCUAGGACACCCAUACAGGGGGCCACCCUGGGAGCCAGGGCUCCACUCCAGAUGUGACAGAGGGCCAGGAUGGGGGCUCCAAGGGGUGAGAACUCUUUCAAACUCCCCUCCUCUGCUCCUCCUCCCAUUUCUUGUCUCUGUGCCCCCAUGUUGGGGCAUACCCUGGGCAAAGGUGGCAGGCAGAAGGACAGACCAGUGGACGACCCAGUCCAGUCCUGGUCAGCCCUCAGGAAAGAGGGAUGCUGACAGGGUGCCUGGCCUUUUCGAGGAGUCCCUCAGGCCUACAGAGUCAGGGAGGAGCCCACCAAGGAGACCAGCCUAGGAGAGAUAGAAGGAGGGUGGGCGGGCUCCAAACCUGCCUUGGCUCUUCCUGUUCACAUGGACAGAGGAAAGGGAGGUGCUGAGUCAGCCUCCAGCCCUCCCCCCACAUGGAUACAUGCAUGCAUGCAGGCAGGCCUACAGAUGGUAAGCCUGAGGGAGCCCAGAGAGACAAAGUGGCCCAGGCUUGGCCACAGAGGGGCUGGGUCCUGGGUUUGAAUCCGGCUGCCACCAUUUACUCGCUGUGCGGUCUUGGCUAGGAGGCUUCACACUGCUGAGCCUCGGUUUUCUCAUCUGUAGAGUGGGGGUGGUAAACCACUGUCUGCCUCAUAGCUGGUUGUGGAUGUCCAAGGGGCUGCUGGUGGCGUGUAGUUGGUGUUCAGUGACAGAGAGCCACUGGGGGUGCUUUCCCCAGCCUGCACUGCUGGACAGCAGGGACAACUGGACCACCUCUUUUUGAGGGUAGGGGUGGGACCAGGCCUGGAGAGGCCUGGGGCAAAGGGCAGGCUUGCAGGUUCCCACCUGCUUGGAUCUCGUGGCCUCGGUAAGCCCUGAGCACACGCAUAUACGGUUCUUUAAUAGCUCAUAUAGCAUGGCCAGCCCUGGGCAGCCUAGCUGAAGGAGGUGGGCCACAGGUGGCCGGUGAAGGCAGGGUUUGCAAUCAGGUGGAGGACUCUGAGCCAUGGCAGACAGCCGUGAAGGUACGGACAGACUCAGCCAAAGGCUGGCAGUGGGGAGGGUGGCAUACCAGUUUGAUCAGAGUGGCCUGGUGUGCGCUGGAUGAGGUGAGGGUGUCGAUGGAGAUGUGGA